This 253-nucleotide ribosomal RNA is filed under the name uncultured bacterium. Its description in RNAcentral is "partial 16S ribosomal RNA". It matches the Rfam family "Bacterial small subunit ribosomal RNA", at positions 524 to 776 of the family's 1533-position model. The record is from RNAcentral.
CACGUAGGGCGCAAGCGUUGUCCGGAAUUAUUGGGCGUAAAGAGCUCGUAGGCGGUCUGUUGCGUCCGCUGUGAAAACCCAGGGCUUAACCCUGGGCUGGCAGUGGAUACGGACAGACUAGAGGUAGGUAGGGGAGAAUGGAAUUCCUGGUGUAGCGGUGAAAUGCGCAGAUAUCAGGAGGAACACCAAUGGCGAAGGCAGCUCGCUGGGACGGUACUGACGCUGAGACGCGAAAGCGUGGGGAGCAAACAGG